GACGAACGCUGGCGGCGUGCUUAACACAUGCAAGUCGAACGGAAAGGCCCUGCUUUUGUGGGGUGCUCGAGUGGCGAACGGGUGAGUAACACGUGAGUAACCUGCCCUUGACUUUGGGAUAACUUCAGGAAACUGGGGCUAAUACCGGAUAGGAGCUCCUGCUGCAUGGUGGGGGUUGGAAAGUUUCGGCCGUUGGGGAUGGACUCGCGGCUUAUCAGCUUGUUGGUGGGGUAGUGGCUUACCAAGGCUUUGACGGGUAGCCGGCCUGAGAGGGUGACCGGCCACCUUGGGCCUGCGAUACGGCCCAGAAUCCUACGGGAGGCAGCAGUGGGGAAUAUUGCACAAUGGGCGGAAGCCUGAUGCAGCAACGCCGCGUGCGUGAUGCCGGCCUUCGGGUUGUAAACCGCUUUCGACUGUGACGAAGCGUGAGUGACGGUAAUGGGUAAAGAAGCACCGGCUAACUACGUG
Molecule: ribosomal RNA, 468 nt
Filed under: uncultured bacterium
Lineage: Bacteria
Description: partial 16S ribosomal RNA
Rfam family: Bacterial small subunit ribosomal RNA
Source: RNAcentral